Molecule: RNA transcript, 1290 nt
Organism: Oncorhynchus kisutch (coho salmon)
Lineage: Eukaryota; Metazoa; Chordata; Actinopteri; Salmoniformes; Salmonidae
Gene name: protein TBATA
Exons: 9
Source: RefSeq, a predicted model, not a curated record
GAGCCGAGUCUCCUAGCAACAUGGGAAACAUUGGACACUAAGUCAGAGUCUGAGAGAGGCUAUGUGGACCUUCUGAGAUCGUCAUGUCGGUCUUUAACAGCCCAGAUCCCUGUGGUGAAAAGAAAACAUCUGACAGGAACACGGGUCAUCACGACGAUAAUGUUCUGUCGUACACGGCCGACGUUCCCAACAUGGCCACUAGGGGCAGUCCACGCUUUGGAGCCUUGAGUCACCACUCCUUCUUCUCCAGACACAACCCUCACCCACACAGAGUCACACACAUCCAAGGUCUAAAUGGGAUUCCAGUGUGCAUGGUGAAUGACGACUGGUACGUGACCACCUCACUGUUCCCCCAUCCGCUCAUCAAGAGUCAGGUAUUCAGGACGAGUUCAGGAGCACCUUUCUCCCUGCCUGCAGGACACAGCGUGUUCGGAGGCAGAUACAGCACCGGACACAGAACAGCUCUGUUAUCAGAAGCCUGGAAAGAGGAGUUGAAAGAUCUGUCUGCAAAAGUCAGCGUUUCUACACAGGACAAAAAGGACAUGAAAGAUGAGAAUGAAGAGGAGGGUCUAGGACUGAUCCGGAGGAAGACCCAGUACUCUGCCAAGACAGGGAGGAUCAUCCCUCCCUCCUCCCAGGCUUAUCAGCGUAGCCACCAGGCUCAGACCCACCGUCACCCCCCCUGCCCCGGCUCUACAUCAGCAGGAACUUAUGGUGCUGGAGCUGCUGUGUCAAAUCCUUCAGACUGACUCCUUAUCAUUGGUCCAGCAGUGGCUGCUGCUCGCGGGCCAGAGGGAGAAGGACAUGGUGAUGGGGUUGAUUCAACAGGCCAUGAAGGACAGUGUCUUCCUAAGGCAGCAGAGUAUGACUGAGUGCGAGGUACCCAGAUGCCAUCCACGCACCUCUCUGUCGGGCCGGGUACUUACUAGCUGUGGAAAUGCAAAACUAAGACUUCAUACCAGUUCAUCCCAACUUCAGCUGCCAAUCAGCAAGGAGGACAAACCAGAGAUGAUUGGAGAUGCAGAGGUACUUGAGGUCCACGCAGAAAGCCCGAAACCGCCCGAAACUAAGCAACAUAUUUCCCAGGAUGAUCAGAACGACCAGUGUGAUCAGAAUGAUUAGACUUCCUUAGUGUAAAUGCUUCGGCUCUCAUCAUUUAAUGUAGUUCGUAGGAAGCCUGUUUCUGUAUCCAGAAAUAUUCUCUGACUAGUUAUUCUGUAUGAUGUAACGCUGUUGUCAUGGUUCAAUUCUCAAACAAUUCUGAGCCAAUUAAAUCAGAUUAUUGUCCCA